GUUCUGGCCAGCAAGGAGCCCACCACCAGCGUGACCCUUACCCGGCUGGGAGUCGGUGUUGACGUGCCCCUCAGCGGCUGUCCAUGAACAGCACGGCCGAUUUAAUCCAGGCUUCCACCUAGAGAUGGCUGUGGCCCCGGAAGCUUCCCAGAGUCAGUGCAACCUUGUUAGUGCUUAUCAACAAAUGCUUUAAGAUAGAGACAUGGAUCUUCAAUAAAACAUCUUCUCAUGUUUCCAGCCAUUGGAAAUUUUGCAGCGUUGAGCCCUGUCACUCCGCUUCAACACAACCUUUGAAUUCCAAUAAACAGAAUUUAUGGACCCAAAAGGUCAAAAAAACUGGAAGAAAUUGGUUAUUGAACUCCUGAAAAAUCCUAAUUAAAGGAAAGUAAUGACAUCCCUGAGUCUUGCCUUAAUGAAUCUUCUGGC
This is a long non-coding RNA of Talpa occidentalis (Iberian mole), 426 nucleotides long. RefSeq lists it as uncharacterized. The record is from RefSeq and is a predicted model, not a curated record. The transcript has 3 exons. Lineage: Eukaryota; Metazoa; Chordata; Mammalia; Eulipotyphla; Talpidae.